RNAcentral lists this long non-coding RNA (200 nucleotides) under Mustela putorius furo (domestic ferret). Its description in RNAcentral is "lncRNA (ENSMPUG00000032107.1)". The record is from RNAcentral. Lineage: Eukaryota; Metazoa; Chordata; Mammalia; Carnivora; Mustelidae.
UCGCUUUGGUUCUCCAUUACUUCCUUAGGUUCCCCACUUGUGACCUCAGCUCGCUGGACAUGGAGUCUGUCACGGUCUGACUUAUUCCCACUGAGUCUCCAGCAUCUGGCCAGAGCCCAGCACAUAGUAGGAAACCUUUCACUUUAAGCAGAAUGACAUGCCCCAUUUGUGGGAAACCGUAUGGGAAGAGGGGAAAGGAG